RNAcentral lists this ribosomal RNA (504 nucleotides) under uncultured delta proteobacterium. Its description in RNAcentral is "bacterial SSU rRNA". It matches the Rfam family "Bacterial small subunit ribosomal RNA", at positions 548 to 1050 of the family's 1533-position model. Lineage: Bacteria; Deltaproteobacteria. The record is from RNAcentral.
GAUUUACUGGGCGUAAAGCGUGCGCAGGCGUCUUGCUAAGUCUUUGGUGAAAGCCCCCGGCCCAACUGGGGAAUUGUCAGAGAAACUAGCAGGAUUGAGUGUGACAGAGGCAGACGGAAUUCCUGGUGUAGCGGUAAAAUGCGUUGAUAUCAGGAGGAACACCAAUGGCGAAGGCAGUCUGCUGGGUCACUACUGACGCUCAGGCACGAAAGCGUGGGGAGCGAACGGGAUUAGAUACCCCGGUAGUCCACGCCGUAAACGAUGGGUGCUAGACAUUCGGGGAUUAGACCCCCUGGGUGUCGAAGCUAACGCGUUAAGCACCCCGCCUGGGGAGUACGGCCGCAAGGCUAAAACUCAAAAGAAUUGACGGGGACCCGCACAAGCGGUGGAGCGUGUGGUUUAAUUCGACGCUAAGCGAAGAACCUUACCAGGGCUUGACAUCUAGCUGCUUGCUCUAGGAAACUAGAGCGUCCUUCGAGGGUGCUAGACAGGUGCUGCAUGGUC